AAACAUCAGUAAAUAUGGCCGCCCUUUCGUGUUAUUGUGCGGCGGGUUAUUUCGUUGACUUUGUUAGGUGAACAUGCGGCAGGACGCAGCACGAGGUUCCCCGUCAAGGGUUGUGCGCGAAAGCACCCGAUGUCAAAAUCCCCGUCUGAAUCCCCCGUGUCAGGUGGCCGGGUUUUCAACGUGACGGCGGUGCAGUCUGCUUUUUAAGUAAAAGCCGGAGAUACCAGACAAAAGCCUGCCUUCUCAUCAAAACGCCGCAACCGGGGCUGUACCAAAAGAGUCGAAAAAG
Molecule: long non-coding RNA, 289 nt
Organism: Ixodes scapularis (black-legged tick)
Lineage: Eukaryota; Metazoa; Arthropoda; Arachnida; Ixodida; Ixodidae
Exons: 3
Source: RefSeq, a predicted model, not a curated record